AAUAUUGGACAAUGGGGGCAACCCUGAUCCAGCCAUGCCGCGAGUGUGAAGUAGGUCUUCGGAUUGUAAAGCACUUUAAGUUGGGAGGAAGGGCUUUAGGUUAAUACCCUGAAGUUUUGACGUUACCACCAGAAUAAGCACCGGCUAACUCUGUGCCAGCAGCCGAGGUAAUACAGAGGGUGCAAGCGUUAAUCGGAAUUACUGUGCGUAAAGCGCGCAUAGGUGGUUCAGUAAGAUGGGUGUGAAAGCCCCGAGCUUAACCUGGGAACUGCUUUCAUAACUGCUGAGCUAGAGUACGGUAGAGGGUAGUGGAAUUUCCUGUGUAGCUGUGAAAUGCGUAGAUAUAGGAAGGAACACCAGUGGCGAAGGCGACUACCUGGACUGAUACUGACACUGAGGUGCGAAAGCGUGGGGAGCAAAC
RNAcentral lists this ribosomal RNA (421 nucleotides) under uncultured bacterium. RNAcentral describes it as "partial 16S ribosomal RNA". It matches the Rfam family "Bacterial small subunit ribosomal RNA", at positions 360 to 773 of the family's 1533-position model. The record is from RNAcentral.